ACGAACGCUGGCGGCGUGCUUCACCCAUGCAAGUCGCACGGAAAGGCCCUGCUUUUGUGGGGUGCUCGAGUGGCGAACGGGUGAGUAACACGUGAGUAACCUGCCCUUGACUUUGGGAUAACUUCAGGAAACUGGGGCUAAUACCGGAUAGGAGCUCCUGCUGCAUGGUGGGGGUUGGAAAGUUUCGGCGGUUGGGGAUGGACUCGCGGCUUAUCAGCUUGUUGGUGGGGUAGUGGCUUACCAAGGCUUUGACGGGUAGCCGGCCUGAGAGGGUGACCGGCCACAUUGGGACUGAGAUACGGCCCAGACUCCUACGGGAGGCAGCAGUGGGGAAUAUUGCACAAUGGGCGGAAGCCUGAUGCAGCAACGCCGCGUGCGGGAUGACGGCCUUCGGGUUGUAAACCGCUUUCGCCUGUGACGAAGCGUGAGUGACGGUAAUGGGUAAAGAAGCACCGGCUAACUACGUGC
This 468-nucleotide ribosomal RNA is filed under the name uncultured bacterium. RNAcentral's name for it is "partial 16S ribosomal RNA". It matches the Rfam family "Bacterial small subunit ribosomal RNA", at positions 29 to 508 of the family's 1533-position model. The record is from RNAcentral.